Molecule: long non-coding RNA, 944 nt
Filed under: Sinocyclocheilus grahami
Lineage: Eukaryota; Metazoa; Chordata; Actinopteri; Cypriniformes; Cyprinidae
Description: lncRNA (ENSSGRG00000027999.1)
Source: RNAcentral
AAACAAUUUUGGGCAAGGUUGUUUCAGUAAAAAAAACAAAAAAAAAACUUGUUUAUAUUUUCUCAAUAGUCUAAUUUGUCUUUAUUUAUCAACGUGCCAUUUCCCAUAAUCAAUUUGUUUCAUGAAUGUAGCCACUGCUUCGAAGCAUGCCAUUUUAUAUGCACAAUUCUGGAUUGUACAAACCUCAAGCAAAGCUUGUAAGUUGCAUGCCAGCAGGCAAUUUAUCCUCUGUGGUGCAGUGGAUCGCUGGAGGGCAACCAUGUUUCUUCCCCCAAUGUUUCUUGAUGAAGGUCAUAGCCAUCCCUGCAGCCUUGCAUGGGAUUGAAUGAAUUGUCUGUUGAUUGAAGGGCUUUGAGGCCAUUUCUAAUAUGGCCUUCUUACACACAUUCUUCCCUGGCUUUCUGUUCCGUUACCUCAAAACCAUAUCCUCAUUUGCACUCAGCAACACUCAGCUGUCCUCGUAUGCCUCUUCAGACAUUUAAAAAACGGUCAAAGACUAUUGCUCAUCAAAGCUUCUAAGCUCUUUAGCUAAGGGAUACAAUUGUUAGCCCGCAUUUCUCUUUUUCUUUUCAUCCCUCUCAAUUCUUUUCUCUAAGGUCUCUCAAUAUUCUCCAAAUGUCUCAUUGUCUUCUCCUACUCAACCAGGUCAAUUCCUCAAUGGCAGCUAUUGCUCAUUUGGAAGAGAGGAUUGCGGCUGGCAGCUGGUUCCAGGAAGGGGCCCACAAUGGAGGGCCCAUCCGUCCAUUCCCCAAAGCCUCAGAAGCAGCUGUCCAUCCCCAGGGGCCUUGUUGGCCAUCGACAGUCAGCCCAAAGGUCAGCGAGGAUCAGCCCAGGUGCGAAGCCCACUUUUCUUCUACCCACUACGGAACGCCCCUUGCAUGGUCAAGUUCUGGGUGUGUGGAUCUUCAAAUGGAAUGCUAUCGCUCUGGAUUAUAGAGAACAGC